AUUGAACGCUGGCGGCAUGCCUUACACAUGCAAGUCGAACGGUAACAGGUCUUCGGAUGCUGACGAGUGGCGAACGGGUGAGUAAUACAUCGGAACGUGCCCAGACGUGGGGGAUAACGAGGCGAAAGCUUUGCUAAUACCGCAUACGAUCUAAGGAUGAAAGCAGGGGACCGCAAGGCCUUGCGCGUUUGGAGCGGCCGAUGGCCGAUUAGGUAGUUGGUGGGAUAAAAGCUUACCAAGCCGACGAUCUGUAGCUGGUCUGAGAGGACGACCAGCCACACUGGGACUGAGACACGGCCCAGACUCCUACGGGAGGCAGCAGUGGGGAAUUUUGGACAAUGGGCGAAAGCCUGAUCCAGCAAUGCCGCGUGCAGGAUGAAGGCCUUCGGGUUGUAAACUGCUUUUGUACGGAACGAAAAGGCUCUGGCUAAUACCUGGGGCACAUGACGGUACCGUAAGAAUAAGCACCGGCUAACUACGUG
Molecule: ribosomal RNA, 482 nt
Filed under: uncultured bacterium
Lineage: Bacteria
Description: partial 16S ribosomal RNA
Rfam family: Bacterial small subunit ribosomal RNA
Source: RNAcentral